GAGCUGCCACCACAGAGGCUCUGCGGGCUGGGGGGGCUGCCUGGAAGCAGCUGCAGCAUCCUGGUGGUAAUGAAAUCCAUCGGGAAAAAGCAGCCCCUGAGCAGCAGGAGCGGCGUUUGGGAGCCAGAUUUUGCCUGAAGGGAAGUGACUCAACGUCUUGGAAGGAGUUGGGGGCGGUGGGGGGAACAGAGGACAGCGGUUGACCCAGGGUGGGGACAGCACAGCCAGGGGGGCUGGCAGCCACCUGCCUCCCGUUGUGCUCCCGGCUGGAGCAGCAUCCCCGCGGGGCGCUCUGGGCUCCGUUAUCCCUCCGUGGGACGGUGCGCUCCGGCCCGGGGGGCGGCACAGGAAAGGAGGCCCCUCGGGAAGCAGCUUGUUGCUUCCUCACGCUGGGUUGUGAUCCAGGCCAGCGUUCCCAGCUCCCGGCGUCACACCCUCUCCCAGCUGUUGCUCGCCGAGCAUCGCGCUGCCAAGAAAACCUUGGUGAUGGAUGCAACUCCCUCCCCGCUCCCUUAAAACCGGCGGGGAGCGGCACCGUGCCUGGGUCUGUCCCGGCACGCCGGGAUCCGCCUGGGAAUGGGAUCCCGCUGGCACCCAGGGCAGCCCGAGCUCGUCCUGCCCAGCGCGGAGCAGCAGGACAGCGUUGGCACCGCACGAGCUCAUGCCUUAGGCCGGUGUGGAGGGAGCUGCCGCUGUGCCCUGGGACACUGAAGUGUCACCUGUCCCCCAUCCCGACAGAGAGGAGAGAGGGGAAGAUCCCUGGCUGCAGACCCCAGCAUCCCAGCUCCCCGGGACCACACGGAUC
This 805-nucleotide long non-coding RNA is filed under the name Serinus canaria (Common canary). RNAcentral's name for it is "lncRNA (ENSSCAG00000007195.1)". Lineage: Eukaryota; Metazoa; Chordata; Aves; Passeriformes; Fringillidae. The record is from RNAcentral.